AGCUUUAUAACUUUCCAAUCUUAAGGUAAGCAUAUAAGUCCCUUUGUACCUUAAGUUGGCCUCUUCAUGGGUUUGUCCUUAAAGGAACUAUAACUUUCCAAUCUUAAGGUGGACAUAUACGUCCCUUUGCACCUUAAGUUGGCCUCUUCAUGGGUUUGUCCUUAAAAGGAACUAUAACUUUCCAAUCUUAAGGUGGACAUAUAAGUCCCUUUGCACCUUAAGUUGGCCUCUUCGUGGAUUUGUCCUUAAAAGGAACUAUAACUUUCCAAUCUUAAGGUGGACAUAUGAGUCCCUUUGCACCUUAAGUUGGCCUCUCCGGUAGUCGGGCCAUUUUGAGAGUAAUCUCUCCAAGAAUUGGGCCACAUUGAGAGUAAUCUCUCCAAGAAUCGGGCCAUUUUGAGAGUAAUCUCUCCAAGAAUCGGGCCAUUUUGAGAGUAAUCUCUCCAAGAAUUGGGCCACAUUGAGAGUAAUCUCUCCAAGAAUGGAGCCAUUUUGAGAGUAAUCUCUCCAAGAAUCGAGCUAGUUUGAGAGUAAUCUCUCCAAGAAUCAGGCCAUUUUGAGAAUAAUAUC
Molecule: long non-coding RNA, 570 nt
Filed under: Nicotiana tabacum (common tobacco)
Lineage: Eukaryota; Viridiplantae; Streptophyta; Magnoliopsida; Solanales; Solanaceae
Description: long non-coding RNA (NTAB_LNC013956)
Source: RNAcentral